CUAAUACAUGCAAGUCGAACGAACUCUGGGUAUUGAUUGGUGCUUGCAUCAUGAUUUACAUCCUUUAGUGAGUGGCGAACUGGUGAGUAACACGUGGGAAACCUGCCCAGAAGCGGGGGAUAACACCUGGAAACAGAUGCUAAUACCGCAUAACAACUUGGACCGCAUGGUCCGAGCUUGAAAGAUGGCUUCGGCUAUCACUUUUGGAUGGUCCCGCGGCGUAUUAGCUAGAUGGUGGGGUAACGGCUCACCAUGGCAAUGAUACGUAGCCGACCUGAGAGGGUAAUCGGCCACAUUGGGACUGAGACACGGCCCAAACUCCUACGGGAGGCAGCAGUAGGGAAUCUUCCACAAUGGACGAAAGUCUGAUGGAGCAACGCCGCGUGAGUGAAGAAGGGUUUCGGCUCGUAAAACUCUGUUGUUAAAGAAGAACAUAUCUGAGAGUAACUGUUCAGGUAUUGACGGUAUUUAACCAGAAAGCCACGGCUAACUACGUGCCAGCAGCCGCGGUAAUACGUAGGUGGCAAGCGUUGUCCGGAUUUAUUGGGCGUAAAGCGAGCGCAGGCGGUUUUUUAAGUCUGAUGUGAAAGCCUUCGGCUCAACCGAAGAAGUGCAUCGGAAACUGGGAAACUUGAGUGCAGAAGAGGACAGUGGAACUCCAUGUGUAGCGGUGAAAUGCGUAGAUAUAUGGAAGAACACCAGUGGCGAAGGCGGCUGUCUGGUCUGUAACUGACGCUGAGGCUCGAAAGUAUGGGUAGCAAACAGGAUUAGAUACCCUGGUAGUCCAUACCGUAAACGAUGAAUGCUAAGUGUUGGAGGGUUUCCGCCCUUCAGUGCUGCAGCUAACGCAUUAAGCAUUCCGCCUGGGGAGUACGGCCGCAAGGCUGAAACUCAAAGGAAUUGACGGGGGCCCGCACAAGCGGUGGAGCAUGUGGUUUAAUUCGAAGCUACGCGAAGAACCUUACCAGGUCUUGACAUACUAUGCAAAUCUAAGAGAUUAGACGUUCCCUUCGGGGACAUGGAUACAGGUGGUGCAUGGUUGUCGUCAGCUCGUGUCGUGAGAUGUUGGGUUAAGUCCCGCAACGAGCGCAACCCUUAUUAUCAGUUGCCAGCAUUAAGUUGGGCACUCUGGUGAGACUGCCGGUGACAAACCGGAGGAAGGUGGGGAUGACGUCAAAUCAUCAUGCCCCUUAUGACCUGGGCUACACACGUGCUACAAUGGAUGGUACAACGAGUUGCGAACUCGCGAGAGUAAGCUAAUCUCUUAAAGCCAUUCUCAGUUCGGAUUGUAGGCUGCAACUCGCCUACAUGAAGUCGGAAUCGCUAGUAAUCGCGGAUCAGCAUGCCGCGGUGAAUACGUUCCCGGGCCUUGUACACACCGCCCGUCACACCAUGAGAGUUUGUAACACCCAAAGUCGGUGGGGUAACCUUUUAGGAACCAGCCGCC
Molecule: ribosomal RNA, 1447 nt
Filed under: Lactiplantibacillus plantarum
Lineage: Bacteria; Bacillati; Bacillota; Bacilli; Lactobacillales; Lactobacillaceae
Description: bacterial SSU rRNA
Rfam family: Bacterial small subunit ribosomal RNA
Source: RNAcentral